GCCCUCGUAGCUCAACGGAUAGAGUGUCUGGCUUCGAACCAGAAGGUUGGGGGUUCGAUUCCCUCCGAGGGUACCA
RNAcentral lists this transfer RNA (76 nucleotides) under Chloroflexota bacterium. Its description in RNAcentral is "tRNA-Arg". It matches the Rfam family "tRNA". From Rfam's summary of the family: Transfer RNA (tRNA) molecules are approximately 80 nucleotides in length. Their secondary structure includes four short double-helical elements and three loops (D, anti-codon, and T loops). Further hydrogen bonds mediate the characteristic L-shaped molecular structure. tRNAs have two regions of fundamental functional importance: the anti-codon, which is responsible for specific mRNA codon recognition, and the 3' end, to which the tRNAs corresponding amino acid is attached (by aminoacyl-tRNA synthetases). tRNAs cope with the degeneracy of the genetic code in two manners: having more than one tRNA (with a specific anti-codon) for a particular amino acid; and 'wobble' base-pairing, i.e. permitting non-standard base-pairing at the 3rd anti-codon position. RNAcentral also lists the same sequence under 2 other names. Lineage: Bacteria; Bacillati; Chloroflexota. The record is from RNAcentral.